GAACGCACAUUGCGCCCACUGGUAUUCCGGUGGGCAUGCCUGUUCGAGCGUCAUUAUCCUCCCUCAAACCUCGGGUUUGGUGUUGGACCCAAGUUGUGUGAACAACUGGUCUCAAAGACAAUGACGGCGUCCGUGGGACCCUCGGUGCAACGAGCUUUUAAACGAGCACGCGUCGAGUUUCAAGGACCUUCCGGGCCGGUCUCCUUCUUUUAUUUACAAAGGUUGACCUCGGAUCAGGUAGGAAUACCCGCUGAACUUAAG
RNAcentral lists this unclassified non-coding RNA (261 nucleotides) under Knufia peltigerae. RNAcentral describes it as "sequence contains 5.8S rRNA gene". The stretch from base 1 to 53 matches the Rfam family "5.8S ribosomal RNA", at positions 102 to 154 of the family's 154-position model. The record is from RNAcentral. Lineage: Eukaryota; Fungi; Ascomycota; Eurotiomycetes; Chaetothyriales; Trichomeriaceae.